GACGAACGCUGGCGGCGUGCUUAACACAUGCAAGUCGAACGGAAAGGCCCUGCUUUUGUGGGGUGCUCGAGUGGCGAACGGGUGAGUAACACGUGAGUAACCUGCCCUUGACUUUGGGAUAACUUCAGGAAACUGGGGCUAAUACCGGAUAGGAGCUCCUGCUGCAUGGUGGGGGUUGGAAAGUUUCGGCGGUUGGGGAUGGACUCGCGGCUUAUCAGCUUGUUGGUGGGGUAGUGGCUUACCAAGGCUUUGACGGGUAGCCGGCCUGAGAGGGUGACCGACCACAUUGGGACUGAGAUACGGCCCAGACUCCUACGGGAGGCAGCAGUGGGGAAUAUUGCACAAUGGGCGGAAGCCUGAUGCAGCAACGCCGCGUGCGGGAUGACGGCCUUCGGGUUAUAAACCGCUUUCGCCUGUGACGAAGCGUGAGUGACGGUAAUGGGUAAAGAAGCACCGGCUAACUACGUG
RNAcentral lists this ribosomal RNA (468 nucleotides) under uncultured bacterium. RNAcentral describes it as "partial 16S ribosomal RNA". It matches the Rfam family "Bacterial small subunit ribosomal RNA", at positions 28 to 507 of the family's 1533-position model. The record is from RNAcentral.